Small nucleolar RNA from Megalops cyprinoides (Indo-Pacific tarpon), 143 nucleotides. RefSeq annotates it as small nucleolar RNA SNORD94. NCBI's taxonomy places the organism in Eukaryota, Metazoa, Chordata, Actinopteri, Elopiformes, Megalopidae. The transcript has a single exon. The record is from RefSeq and is a predicted model, not a curated record.
GGGGCAGUGAUGAUUGGCGCAGGGGUACGGACCUCAGCUGGUGAUGGGAGCUGAGCGUUGGCACUUUGCCUUUGCUCAACCGGCAUGUGGCUGGCCCUCCAGAGGUGGUGUCAAUGCGAUACAAAUGCCAAAAUCUGAGCCUC